Parambassis ranga (Indian glassy fish) is the source of this 4233-nucleotide long non-coding RNA. Ensembl annotates it as microtubule associated serine/threonine kinase 3. NCBI's taxonomy places the organism in Eukaryota, Metazoa, Chordata, Actinopteri, Ambassidae. The record is from Ensembl.
UCUUUAGAGGUCAAGCGUUUUCUUAAUAUGCCCAGUAUUACAAUAUCCAGAGUUAUGCAAGCUGCUAUUAACUUGUGUCAUUUCCUGUUUUUUUGGUCCAGCUGUCGCAGCAGCAACAGGAAGAGCCUUGGUGUCGGGACGCCCUCACCCACGCUGUCCCGGCCACUCUCCCCGCUCUCACUCCACACGGCUGCCAGCAGCCCUCUGGACAGCCCUCGAAAUGCAUCGACCAGUGCCUGCCUCAACUUUCCAUUCGCCCGAAGUCACUUGGCUCGGGCUGACAGAGCUGAGGGCCGGCGAUGGUCUCUGGCCUCCCUGCCCUCGUCUGGCUAUGGAACCAAUCCACCGAGCUCCACUGUCUCGUCCUCUUCAUCAUCCCAGGAGCGUCUUCAUCAGCUUCCCUACCAGCCAACACAAGAUGAACUGCACUUCCUCUUCAAACACUUCCGCAGCACAGACAGCAUGACAGAUGAGGAUGGACGCCCCUCGCCUGUCAUACGACCUCGGUCCCGCAGCCUCAGCCCUGGGCGUUCAAGUGUCUCCUUCGAUAAUGAGAUAGUCAUGAUGAACCACGUUUACAGAGAGCGUUUUCCAAAGGCCACAGCCCAGAUGGAGGAACGCUUGUUAGAGAUAGUCACCCACUAUUCUCCAGACAGCUCCCUCCCGCUGCCUGACGGGGUACUGGGCUUCAUCCAGCACCAGUUGGUGGAGCUGGUCAGAGACUGUCUGGAUAAGUCUCAGAAAGGUCUGGUUACUUCCCGCUACUUUGCUGAGCUGCAGGAAAAGCUGGAAAAGCUGUUUCAUGAGCGCUCUGAAAGCGAGGAGGUAACUGUCAUCACCCAGCUGGUUAGGAAGAUCCUCAUCAUAAUCUCUCGGCCGGCUCGCCUCCUUGAAUGUCUGGAGUUUGACCCGGAAGAGUUUUAUCACCUACUUGAAGCAGCAGAGGGUCAUGCCAAAGUCGGCCAGGGAAUUAAGACGGACAUCCCGCGCUACAUCAUCAGCCAGCUCGGCCUGACGCGGGACCUGUUGGAAGAUAUGGUACAGCUGGAACAGUAUGAUACCAGUCCUACAGUUUCGGUGGAACCAGAACCUAACGCUCCACAGACGCUGACUCCAACUCGAAGAAAACCACUGGAAAGCGAUUUUGAGACCAUCAAACUUAUUAGUAACGGAGCUUAUGGGGCCGUGUAUCUGGUCCGUCACAAGGAGACUCGUCAGCGAUUUGCCAUGAAAAAGAUAAAUCGUCAGAACCUGGUGCUAAGGAAUCAGAUUCAGCAGGCAUUCGUGGAGCGGGACAUCCUAACCUUUGCUGAGAACCCUUUUGUUGUCUCCAUGUUCUGCUCUUUUGAGACACGGCGUCAUCUUUGCAUGGUCAUGGAGUAUGUAGAAGGUAAACAAAAGCUUUUUUUCUCACAGAUUACACAUACAUAUAUAAUCUUUUUUUGUCUUUUGCCACUUGACAGUUUGCUGAUAACCUCCAUGGGUCACAUCAAGCUGACAGAUUUUGGCCUGUCUAAAAUUGGACUGAUGAACAUGACCACCAACCUGUACGAAGGUCACAUUGAGAAAGACACAAGAGAAUUUGUUGACAAACAGGUAUGUGGCACUCCAGAGUACAUUGCUCCAGAGGUGAUCCUUAGGCAGGGCUAUGGGAAGCCAGUGGACUGGUGGGCAAUGGGGGUCAUUCUUUAUGAGUUUCUGGUUGGCUGUGUUCCAUUUUUUGGAGACACCCCUGAAGAGCUUUUUGGACAAGUUGUUAGUGAUGAAAUAAUUUGGCCAGAAGGAGACGAUGCCCUACCUACUGAUGCACAGGACCUGAUUACUCGUCUGCUGAGGCAGAACCCUUUAGACCGAAUUGGAACAGGUGGAGCCUCAGAGGUGAAGCAGCAUCCUUUCUUCCUGGGUUUAGACUGGAAUGGACUUCUCCGACAGAAAGCAGAGUUCAUCCCUCAGCUGGAGGCGGAGGAUGACACCAGCUAUUUUGACACUCGGUCAGAACGCUACCAUCAUUUGGCAUCUGAUGAGGACGAAGAAACCAAUGAUGAAGAGUCUUCCCUAGAAAUUAGACAGUUUGCUUCCUGGUCACAUCGCUUCAGUAAGGUUUACAGCAGCACAGAACAUCUGGCAACACCUUCCAACUUGAGCUUCUCAUCAGACCGCAGUCACAGUGAGGACAAGGAGGACCGUAGCCGUUUGUUGGCAUAUGGAAAAUGGAGCUCUUGUGUUAAAAAAAAUAAACUAAUUUACCCCUCUGUUCGUAGCCUUCGGCCUAGGGCCUCCUCCAGCUCCUCCCAGUCAGAGAGAAGCACCAGUCCUCUAGUGAUGACCAGCACUCACAGUCUGGAGACAAUGCCACGUUUUGCCCUCUCCACUGAUGAUGAAGGUAAAUUCAGACCUGUGGUGGUGUCAAACCUUCGGAGAAUCAGAAUUCGGAGCAACAGCACUGGGGCUAAACACUCAUCCCCUAAGGACCCAGCAGGCCCUCGGCGCUUCGGUAACCAGCUGGAAACACCAGACAGGCAGAGGCUUCCCUGUGGAGGAAAGGUUCCAAAGUCAGCCUCUGUCUCUGCAUUGUCUCUCAUCAUUACUACAGAUGACUCUCCCAGUGGCCUCCAGCCCAGUCCCAUUUCGCCACGUUCACUUUCUUCCAACCCCUCAUCUCGUGACUCGUCCCCUAACCGAGAUCUGUUCUUCAGCCCCGGCAGCCUCAGGCCACCAAUCGUCAUCCACACCUCAGGGAAGAAGUACGGCUUCACCCUGCAGGCCAUCCGGGUCUACAUGGGUGACAGUGAUGUGUACACUGUGCAUCAUAUGGUGUCGAGUGUGGAGGAGGGCAGCCCAGCUCACCAGGCAGGUCUCUGCACUGGAGACCUCAUCACCCACGUGAACGGAGAGUCUGUCCAAGGCCUGGUCCACCCAGAGAUGAUAGAACUGCUACUGAAGAGUGGCAGCAAGGUGGCUCUGCAGACCAUAGCACUGGAGAACACGUCAAUCAAAGUUGGCCCAGCUCGAAAAACCAAACACAAAGGCAAGAUGGCACGUCGCAGCAAGAAGAGCAAGAGGAGAGAUAAUUACGACAGGCGACGGAGUAUCUUAAAGAAGUUAUCCAAGCAGAGUACAGUGAUGCACAGCAGUCGCAGCUUCUCCUCAGGCCUCCAUCACUCAGUUUCCUCCAGUGAGAGUCUUCCAGGCUCCCCGACACACAGCCUCUCCCCUGGUCCUUCCACACCCUGUCGGAGCCCUGCACCUGACCAUCAGGGCUGUGACAACACUCCUUGCUCUCCUCAGAGCACAUCUCCUUGCUCCAGCUCUCCUAGCUCCCCUGCUGCACACAUCCGGCCCAGCUCGCUCCAUGGCCUGGGAUCCAAACUCAGCACGCAACGCUACACCAAGGUUGGCCGUCGGAAGUCGACCAGUAACAUCCCUCCAUCCCCGUUGGCCUGCAACUCCUCCUCAUCUUCUAACCAGCCUCUUUCCCCAGCCUGGCAGCCAGGCAGUGGGGAGCGCUCACCGUCCCCACUUCCAGGCUUUGCCAAAACUCUUCACACCUUCCAUGGCAAAACCCUGUCACCACCCACCAUUGUUAGACAUGUUGUUCGGCCCCGCAGUGCUGAACCACCCCGGUCUCCACUGCUCAAGAGGGUGCAGUCAGCUGAGAAGCUGUCUGGAGUUUAUCAUGUUGACAAGAAACUGGGGUGCUACAUAAGCAGUCAAAGGAUAGAACGGUCAGAGCAGCUAGUUGUGAUGCGGAAGCUCAACCUAUCAGAGCGGCGAGACUCCUUUAAGAAGCAAGAGGCAGUGCAGGAGGUGAGCUUUGAUGAGCCAGAGGAGAAAAAUGGCACCACAGUGACCACCGCAGCCCCAGGAGCCCAAACACAGUGUCAGCAGCAGCACAGGAUAGCCUGGAUGGCCACUCGACCCCAGAGCAGCCAGGAGGUGGAGCUGGAAGUCCCGGUGGUGAGGAGGUUUACAUUGGUGCCCCAAAUCGCCGUGCAGGGCUCAACAGAAAGUGAGGAGCAGGAUGAGUGGGAGCCAUGCUCAGAUGGAGAGGAAUCCACUGAUAGGCCUGAGCUGGAGGUGAGCAUCACUUCAAUUCAGCAGCAGCAAACAGGACAUCCUCUUGCUGACAGCAGCUGCAGUGAGGCAGAAACCACUUCCUCUGGUCCUGCACCAGCAUCAGAGAAACCUGAGUGCAGAGAGGAAAUGCCCCAAAAAGGGCCUUUGAGAAAAUGA